AGAGCUGAAAUGCGGAUUGUAGUUCAGGAACACGUAUCCGCGGCACUGGUCGAUGGCAUGGAAAAGCGGGUUCCAGUCGAACAUAACAAGCAUGUAUCCGGGCAACGAAUUGGCGACGAACAUCUUGCCGCUGGCGAUCAUGUUGGCGCG
This 150-nucleotide non-coding RNA is filed under the name Flavimaricola marinus. RNAcentral's name for it is "Loktanella marina Ruegeria cis2 sRNA". It matches the Rfam family "Ruegeria cis2 sRNA". From Rfam's summary of the family: Cis-encoded. Targets ABC transporter. Lineage: Bacteria; Pseudomonadati; Pseudomonadota; Alphaproteobacteria; Rhodobacterales; Paracoccaceae. The record is from Rfam by way of RNAcentral.